This is a long non-coding RNA of Oncorhynchus tshawytscha (Chinook salmon), 1575 nucleotides long. Lineage: Eukaryota; Metazoa; Chordata; Actinopteri; Salmoniformes; Salmonidae. The record is from Ensembl.
GGUUUUCGUACAGCGCCCUUUGCUGAUCUGUCAUAGUGUGGGAGCUGGCAGCACAGUACUAGACAGACCAUACAGUACUAGACAGACCAGACAGACCACACAGUACCAGGCAGACUAGACAGACCAGACAGACCAUACAGUACCAGGCAGACUAGACAGACCAGACAGACCAGACAGUACCAGACAGACCAUACAGUACUAGACAGACCAGACAGACCAGACAGUACCAGACAGACUAGACAGGCCAGAGAGACUAGACAGACCAGACAGACCAUACAGUACCAGGCAGACUAGACAGUACUAGACAGACUAGACAGACCAGACAGACCAGACAGUACCAGACAGACUAGACAGACCAGACAGACCAGACAGUACCAGACAGACUAGACAGACCAGACAGACUAGACAGACCAGACAGACCAGACAGUACCAGACAGACUAGACAGGCCAGAGAGACGAGACAGACCAGACAGACCAUACAGUACCAGGCAGACUAGACAGUACUAGACAGACUAGACAGACCAGACAGACCAGACAGUACCAGACAGACUAGACAGACCAGACAGCCUAGACAGACCAGACAGUACCAGACAGACCAGACAGUACUAGACAGACCAUACAGUACUAGACAGACCAGACAGACUAGACAGACCAGACAGUACUAGACAGACCAUACAGUACCAGACAGACCAGACAGUACCAGACAGUACCAGACAGACCAGACAGUACCAGACAGUACUAGGCAGACCAGACAGUACCAGACAGUACUAGGCAGACCAGACAGACCAGACAGUACUAGGCAGUACCAGACAGUACCAGACAGACUAGACAGACCAGACAGACCAGACAGACCAGACAGUACCAGACAUACCAGACAGUACCAGGCAGACCAGACAGUACUAGACAGUACCAGACAGUACUAGACAGACCAGACAGAACAGACAGUACUAGACAGUACCAGACAGUACUAGACAGUACUAGACAGUACCAGACAGACCAGACAGUACUAGGCAGACCAGACAGUACCAGACAGUACUAGACAGACCAGACAGACCAGACAGUACCAGACAGUACUAGACAGACCAGACAGACCAGACAGUACCAGACAGUACUAGACAGUACCAGACAGACCAGACAGACCAGACAGACCAGACAGUACUAGACAGUACCAGACAGUACUAGACAGAACAGACAUACCAGACAGUACCAGACAGUACCAGACAGUACCAGAAAGACCAGACAGUACCAGACAGUACCAGACAGUACCAGACAGAACAGACAGUACCAGACAGUACCAGACAGUACCAGAAAGACCAGACAGUACCAGACAGUACCAGACAGACCAGACAGUACUAGACAGACCAGACAGUACCAGAAAGACCAGACAGUACCAGACAGUACCAGACAGACCAGACAUACACACUGACUCCAGCAUCAUCCCCAGACUAUCUGGUAUGGUAUUAUAGCUAAUCUCCUUUUGCCAAGAGGCUCAGAGAAAAUACUACUGUUUAAGAGCUCAGGGAUUGCUGGGGGAAAAAAAAUGUGACAAUCUCUUUUUCCCCACACAAAUAUGUC